GGGGCCCAGGGUGGAGAGCACGAGGGCCUGGCCCAGGCACGGCCGGCGCCUCCGCCCUCGAGGAGGGCGUCACCUCAGCUCCCCCCGGCGGCGGAGCCGGCGGGCUCAGGCGGGCGCGGCUGAGGGGAGCGGACCGCGGGGGGCGGGAGAUGACUGCGCCCAAGGCCUUUGCGGGCCUCAGCCGGCCCCAGAGGAAGGGGAACCCGUCGAGCGGUUUGGGAGGUUCAGGAAGCCAUUCGUUCUUUCGCGUCUGCGGUGCCCGGAGUGUGGUACUUCUCCUAGUUGCAGUCAGGCUUCAUACGCUAUUGUCCUGCCCGUUAGAGCAGCCAGCGGGUACAGAAUGGAUUUUGGAAGAGGGAGUCACCACUGGACCUCCAAGGAAGCCACGUGCAGACAUCUACAACCUUCGAUCUCCUGACGAGUUUAUUGUUGGCCAAAACCAGGCUUUGAUUGAACCAGGAUGAAUGCGGGUGUUGGAAGUAGAAUAUAUAUAUACAUAUAAAAUUGGUUGGGAGCCACGUGUACCAGUGUGUGUUGAUCUUGGCUUGAUUCAGUCUGCCUUGUAACAGAAACUGGCGAUGGAAUAUGAGAGGAGCCCUCUGGAAAGAAAAGGACAGACCCUGUGCUUUCAUGAAAGUGAAGAUCUGGCUGAACCAGUUCCACAAGGUUACUGUAUACAUAGCCUGAGUUUAAAAGGCUGUGCCCACUUCAAGAAUGUCAUUGUUAGACUUUGAAAUUUCUAACUGCCUACCUGCAUAAAGAAAAUAAAAUCUUUUAAAUCAAAAUGCUGUUUUGUUUGGCCAUUGGAGAUAACCAUUGAACAGGGAUAACAAGUAGUAGUUAGGUAUUUGCAGUUUCAUUUGGUUUUAGUUUUUUGAGGGGAGAAUCACCCUAGUGGGCAGUUGGUUUCUGUGGGCAAAGCCUGCUUUCCACAGGUAUUGUGCCUCGUGAUUGGCUUCUGCAUUGGAAACCUAAGAAUAAGCAAGCACACUUGGGCCAGAAUUCAAAGCAGAGGGUCAAUACAGAGGUAUCUCACUUGUAUGCUUACACCUGCACAAGAUCGUGUAUGUUAAAUCGUGGGUAUUAGGCCUUAAUGGUUGCAUGAGAUGAGUAAGGAUGAUGUGGGCUAUGGUAUUUGUUUAUAAACUUCAUAGGAAAUUGCAAAAAUAGGCUGCAUCAUUUAUCAAUAUGUGAUGAUUUUUUAUUUAAAAUACACAGUGAAUAAUUUUUUAAGUAUCUUAAAAUCUCACCUCAAAGAUGGGACCUCUAGAUUUCUUUUUUUUUUCUGAGGCAGAGUCUCGCUGUGUCACCCAGGCUGGAGUGCAGUGGCAUGAUCUCAGCUCACUGCGAGCUCUGCUUCCUGGGUUCACAUUCUCCUGCCUCAGCCUCCCAAGUAGCUGGGACUACAGGUGCCCGUCACCACGCCCGGCUAAUUUUUUGUAUUUUUAGUAGAGACGGGUUUUCGCUGUUUUAGCCAGGAUGGUCUUGAUCUCCUGACCUUGUGAUCUGCCCACUUCGGCCUCCCAAAGUGCUGGGAUAACAGGCAUGAGCCACUGCGCCCAGCCUGGGACCUCUAGAUUUCUAAAAUGACUCCUGGUAUUGACUCAGAAUCCCCUCCCCUUGACUAGGCUGGACCUAGUGUAACUUCUGAGACUUGCUAGCUCUUUUUCUCAUUCUCCUUGGCUUGCUCACUUUUUUUUUUUUUUUUUGAGAUCUCAGCUCACUGCAACCUCCGUCCCCUGGGUUUAAGCAAAUUCUCCUGCCUCACCCUCCCGAGUAGCUUGGAUUACCACGCCUGGCUAAUUUUUGUAUAUUUAGUAGAGGGGGUUCACCAUGUUGGCCAGGCUGGUCUUGAACUCCUGACCUCAAGUGAUCUGCCUGCGUCAAGCCUCCCAAAGUGUUGGAAUUACAGGCGUGAGCCACCACGCCUGGCCUAGCUUGCUCACUUUUAAUUAAGCUGCCAUGUUGGGAGAGGCCAGCGUAGCAAUCAACUGAGGUUGAACCAUUAGUGUGGGAGGAGUUACCCAACAACCAUGUGAGUUUGUAAGCACGUCUUUCUGUAGCGGAGGCUUGUGAGAAACCCUGAGAGCGGACCCACCCAGAUUGUGCUUGGAUUUCUGACCUAUGGGAAAUGUAUUUCAAGCCACUAGGUUUUGAGAUAACUUGCUACAAAGCAGUAAAUUCACAACUCUAUAAUGCCCACUCUAAAGGUCCUGACAUGGGCAUCUCCAUUACCUAAGUCAACUGAUGCUACUUCAAUUUCUCCACGUAGCAUUUGAAGCGUUUAUGUCUGGCCCCAGCCUACAUUUUCAGACUUAUUUGUGCAUUUGACUUAACAUGUCCAAAACUAAAUGCCUGAUGCUUCACUCACCUAACCCCAUUCCCUGCAAGUCUGUGCUUCCUGCGAUCUUCCCUUCCCAGGUAUUGGCAACACCAGAAGUCCAGUUGGUCAGGAGCUGUGGAAUCAACCUCAUGUACCAUGUGAAUCCCUUGGCAAAUGCUAUUGGUUCUACCUUCAAAAUACAUCUGAAACCCACCCCCUCUUAGCGUCUUCAUUGCUACCACCUUGGUACAAACCAUCAAACAAGCUUGGAAUACUGGUCUCUACUUCAGCCUUUGCUCCCUACGAUCAAUUGAGAUGCAACCAGAGCGAUCUGUGAAAACCUGAAUUAGAUUUUGCCUGCCUGAGCUCCUCUAGUAGUGGCCACAAUUGCCAGAGAAGAUAGAGCAGGUCUCUCCCAGGACUUGCAGCUCCAGCCUGUGUCUGCAAGGGGUGUUGUAGCGACUGAUUUCUCCAGCCCAUGGCAAGAGGCCUUCAUCUUGUGCCUGGAAAGAGGGAAGUACAAGUCCGUCUGGCAGAGAUGGUGCAGAUGGGCAAGUUUUUCAGACACUGCAGCCAGCACUUCUGGGACCGCAGCAGUGGAGCCUGCAGAGGGCCGGUUCUCCAGGCAUGGGCUACUGACAUUGUCACUUCCAGACUCCUUAUGCAAUAAACAACCCCUAAACAGAUUUAUUCACAAUUUCUCCAUCCUAACAAGUCAGUGAUCAGUUUUCACUUUUCCACAUUCCCUUCUGUCCCCAUUAUGUUCCCAUAGUGGGGCAGCUUCUACCUGCAUGGUUGGAGCUUCCCAUUUUUAAAGAGGCAAGAAAUCCUUUAAAGUUCUUUGAAAUGUUUGUAGCCUGUUCCAAUUUUAUAAACUGUGAAGACUGAGCAACACACAAUGCAUGGGCCUCAUAUGGCCUGGAGGCCACCAGUUGGAGACCUCUGUAGCUUGAGCUGUGUCCCUUUCAGCACUGUUCUUGUCAUUCCUGAGCUGGGAUGCCCCCUGAAACAUAGGAUGCUCAGUUAAAUUUGAAUUUCUUUUUUUUUUUCCUUGAAAUGGAGUGUCGCUCUGUCGCCAGGCUGGAGUGCUGUGGCGUGAUCUCAGCUCACUGCAACCUCCACCUCCCUAGUUCAAGUGAUUCUCCUGCCUCAGCCUCCCGAGUAGCUGGGAUUACAGGCAUGCACCACCACACCCAGCUAAUUUUUGUAUUUUUAGUAGAGACAGAGUUUCACCAUGUUGGCCAGGAUGGUCUUGAUCUCCUAACCUCAUGAUCUGCCCGCCUCGGCCUCCCAAAGUGCUGUGAUUACAGGUGUGAACCACUGCGCCCGGCCGAUGGCAAUCAUUCUUUAAGAUGCAGCCUCCGUGGACCUCGUACCUUCUCAGUAAUUUCCAUAUUCUUUGCUGACUUGGGUUUUUCCUCCAAAAUUGUCUGGGAUAAAUUGAGGUUUGUGGAGUUUCCUGAUGGCUAGUUUCCAAACUGGCUUCAAAGCCUGGGCUUGUGGAAUUGGCUGGGUCUGCGGCCAGCCUAACCCAUCCUUCGGUCACAGUCUCCCAUGGUCCUGAUAUUAAUUCAUCACAGGUCUGUUUAGAAGGUGGCAGAAACAGACGGUCUUGGGCUUAUUUAUAUCUGUGGCUUUUUUUAAAAGACAGAAAAGGAGAAAUCUGGAUCCUUUCCUUGUCAGCCUCCUUUAACUAAAUGGUCUUUUGCUAAAAUAGACUGGCCCCACUGUGUGGGUAGGAAGGGUUGAGAUGGGAGUGGGCCAAGUGAGUGAGAACUUUUUUUUUUUGCCUUGAUGUUAAAAUGGCAGCAUGUGCAGUCUUCUGCCUCUGCCCAGGUUGACCUGAUGUUUUUACAGGGAGAGAGGCUGCUUGUUGAGUGUGGUGGUAUUUAUCAUAGUGUAUGUUAGGCUGCCUCAAACAUCCCUCGCUGUCGUACCUUUCAGCCAACUCUAAUGUACCUCUCUCAGCCUGAUUUCUCCCCACUUGAGUUAUAAUAACAACAACUGCCUUUUAAAAAAUUUCCUACUGGGCUUCAUGCUAGGUACUUUCCACGUUUUAUUUUUAUUUAUUUAUUUUUUGAGACAGAGUCUCACUCUGUCACCCACGCUGGAGUGCAGUGGUGUGAUCGCAGCUCACUGCAGCCUCAAACUCCUGGGCUCAAGCGAGCCUCCUGCCUCAGCCUCCCGAAUAGCUGGGACUACAGGUUUGUGCUACUGUGCCCGGCUAAUUUUUCUAUUUUUUUGUAGAGACAGUGUCUCCCUUUGUUUCCCAGGCUGAUCUCUCCUGGGCUCAAGCGAUCCUCCUGCCUCAACCUCCCAAAGUAUUGGGAUUACUGGUGUGAGCCACCAUUAUAUGUUUUAAAUAAUUUAUUCCUCACCUCAAGUGAGUGAGGUAACAUCCCAGUUUUACAGACAAGGAAACAGAUUGGGCAGGGGAAGUGACUUGCCUCAGAUGCACAAUAAAUGGCUCUGCCAGUGUCUUCCUUAGCGCCUCCGAUCCCCUUCUCACCCUUGUCCUCUCUGCUCCUCUCUGCUCAAUGCUCCUGGGAGCGUGAACUGCAUUAAUGGCUCCUUGUCUGGUGGCCUCAAGGUUCCCCAGGAGGCAGGGAGGGUGAGGCUGAGAUGUGUGCUCCCCUAAGGCACAUGCCUCAGCCUGGCUGCCUCUGUCUAAGGCCACAGCCCCUCAAGUGCUUCCCCACCUGACUUUCUGGGCUCUGGUAACCGCUUCCUGCCUGCCCCAUCAGGUGUAGGGGGUGCUUCAUGGGUCAACAUUAGCUUAUGUGGUUUCCUUAUAUCCUGGGCGCACCUUUGUUAGUCUCAAAUUACAUUCUGCUUGAACUAUUCUCUAUCCAGUGGGUUGUGACUAUCUAGAGGCAGAGUUGGGAUUUGAACCCCAAGACUUCAAAAUAAGCUCUGUGCAAAUGGCCUCCCAGAGCUGCCUGCUGGUUUCUUCUGCGAGGCCUGGCUUCUCCAUUUUGGCUUGGACCAUGGCCUGCUGUCAUUUCCACAACAGUUGCAGGAAGUUGCCAAAUGCGUUUUCUGUGACUGCCAGGCUGGUGACCCUGUUAAAAACAAAGCAACAACAAAAAAAGCAAUUUCUUCAAUUAAAAUUACAAAACAGAAAAAAAAAAAGAUGUCACACUUGGGGGAAGCUGGUUGAAGUGUACUUGAUAUUCUACAUACUAUUUUCGCAGUUCUCUGUGAAUCAAUAGUUAUUUCCAAAUAAAAUGUUAAAAAAAACUUUAUUACUAAAUCAGAAAAAAACAACAACAAACAACAACAAAAACCAAAGCAGAAUAUGUGGUGCACUGUUGAGGGAAGUACAGAAGGAU
This 5655-nucleotide long non-coding RNA is filed under the name Homo sapiens (human). Its description in RNAcentral is "HSALNT0268344". The stretch from base 422 to 508 matches the Rfam family "ZNFX1 antisense RNA 1 conserved region 3". Lineage: Eukaryota; Metazoa; Chordata; Mammalia; Primates; Hominidae. The record is from RNAcentral.